UUGUUAAAUAAUAAUAUAAUAUUAUUUCUUAAACUAGAAAGGUAAUUCAAUGUUCAUAACAUACUACAGUGUAUCUGGCGGUCCAAUUAUUAAAACUUCCCAG
RNAcentral lists this small RNA (103 nucleotides) under Drosophila erecta. RNAcentral's name for it is "GG26986". Lineage: Eukaryota; Metazoa; Arthropoda; Insecta; Diptera; Drosophilidae. The record is from RNAcentral.